AACGAACGCUGGCGGCAUGCCUAACACAUGCAAGUCGAACGAGACCUUCGGGUCUAGUGGCGAACGGGUGCGUAACGCGUGGGAACCUGCCCUUAGGUUCGGAAUAACUCCCCGAAAGGGGUGCUAAUACCGGGUAAUGUCUUCGGACCAAAGAUUUAUCGCCUUUGGAUGGGCCCGCGUUGGAUUAGCUAGUUGGUAGGGUAAAAGCCUACCAAGGCGACGAUCCAUAGCUGGUCUGAGAGGAGGAUCAGCCACACUGGGACUGAGACACGGCCCAGACUCGUACGGGAGGCAGCAGUGGGGAAUAUAGGAGAAUGGGCGAGAGCCUGCUCCAGCAAGGCCGCGUGAGUGAUGAAGGGCUUAGAGUUGUAAAGCUCUUUUACCCGAGAUGAUAGUGACAGUACCGGGAGAAUAAGCUCCGGCUAACUACGUG
RNAcentral lists this ribosomal RNA (433 nucleotides) under uncultured bacterium. RNAcentral's name for it is "partial 16S ribosomal RNA". It matches the Rfam family "Bacterial small subunit ribosomal RNA", at positions 29 to 507 of the family's 1533-position model. The record is from RNAcentral.